This 1098-nucleotide long non-coding RNA is filed under the name Catharus ustulatus (Swainson's thrush). RNAcentral describes it as "lncRNA (ENSCUSG00005015610.1)". The record is from RNAcentral. Lineage: Eukaryota; Metazoa; Chordata; Aves; Passeriformes; Turdidae.
AUGCCCUCAGCGCCACCUCCUCCUCUCUCACCUCCAUCCUCCUCCUCCCACCCAGAUCCUUCCUCCUCCUCGUCCUCUUCGUCCUCCUCGUCCUCCUUCUCUCCCUUUUCCCCUCAAACCCAUUCCAAUCUUUUCUUAAAUUUAUUUUUCCCCCAAAUCCCCUCUAAAAUCCCUUUUUUUAAAUUCAAAGUUUUUCUGAACUCCCUUUUCCCCAAAAAUCCACGUUUUAUCACCAAAAAUCCCCUUUUAACCCCCAGCUCCCACCCCAAAAUCUCAUUUUUUAGCCUCCAAAAUCUCCUUUAUUCCCCCCAAAAAUCCCAUUUUUUCCCCCGAAAAAUCCUUUUUUCCACCGAAAAAUCCUUUUUUUUUCCCCCCGAAAAAUCCCCUUUUUUUCUUAAAAAUCCCCUUUUCUUCCCCAAAAAAUGUUUUUCUUUCCCUCUUUUUGCUCUGAAAAUCUCAUUUUUUACCCCCCAAAAAUCCCAUUUUUACCCACAAAAAUCCCAUUUCCCCCCAAAAAAUCCCUUUUUUCCCCAAAAAUCCAUUUCCCCCCAAAUUUUCCUAAAAUCCCAUUUUUUUAUCCCCCAAAAUCCCUUUUUUAAACAAAAUAAUUUUUUUCCUCAAAAAAAUCCAUUUUCCCCCAAAAAAUUCAUUUCCCCCCCCAAAAAUCCCAUUUUUACCCCCCAAAAACCAUUUUUUUCCAAAAACUCAUUUUCCCCCCAAAUUUUCCCAAAAUCUCUUUUUUUUUACCCCCCAAAAAUCCCAUUUUUCCCCCAAAAAAUCCCAUUUUCCCCAUUUUCCCCAUUUCCCCUCCAAAUUUUCCCAAAAUCUCAUUCUUUUACCCCCCCCAAAAAUGCCAUUUUUCCCCCAAAAAUCCGGUUUUUUUCCCCCAAAAAAUCACAUUUUUUCCCAAAAAAUCCAGUUUUUUCCCCAAAAAUCCCAUUUUCCCCUCAAAUUUUCCCAAAAUCUCUUUUUUACCCCCAAAACAUCCCGUUUUUCCUCAAAAAACCCAUUUUCCCCCCAAAAUCCCAUUUUUCCCCAAAAAAUCACAUUUUUCCCCAUAAAAUCGCAUUUUCCCCUAAAAAUCCCUUGUUUCCCUAA